AAAAUUAGCGGAUGACUUGUGGCUGGGGGUGAAAGGCCAAUCAAACCGGGAGAUAGCUGGUUCUCCCCGAAAGCUAUUUAGGUAGCGCCUCGUGAAUUCAUCUCCGGGGGUAGAGCACUGUUUCGGCUAGGGGGUCAUCCCGACUUACCAACCCGAUGCAAACUGCGAAUACCGGAGAAUGUUAUCACGGGAGACACACGGCGGGUGCUAACGUUCGUCGUGAAGAGGGAAACAACCCAGACCGCCGGCUAAGGUCCCAAAGUCAUAAUUAAGUGGGAAACGAAGUGGGAAGGCUCAGACAGCCAGGAUGUUGGCUUAGAAGCAGCCAUCAUUUAAAGAAAGCGUAAUAGCUCACUGGUCGAGUCGGCCUGCGCGGAAGAUGUAACGGGGCUAAAUUAUGCACCGAAGCCGCGGCAGCGAUAUGUAAAUAUUGUUGGGUAGGGGAGCGUUCUGUAAGCCUGUGAAGGUGUGCUGUGAGGCAUGCUGGAGGUAUCAGAAGUGCGAAUGCUGACAUAAGUAACGAUAAUGCGGGUGAAAAACCCGCACGCCGGAAGACCAAGGGUUCCUGUCCAACGUUAAUCGGGGCAGGGUGAGUCGACCCCUAAGGCGAGGCUGAAAAGCGUAGUCGAUGGGCAACGGGUUAAUAUUCCCGUACUGGUGGUAACUGCGAAGGGGGGACGGAGAAAGCUAAAUCAUCCGGGCGACGGUUGUCCCGGUUUAAGCGUGCAGGUGGACUGACCAGGCAAAUCCGGUCGGUUGUUAACACUGAGGCGUGACGACGAGCCACUACGGUGGUGAAGUGAUUGAUGCUCUGCUUCCGGGAAAAGCCUCUAAGCUCCAGGUUACCAUUAAUCGUACCCCAAACCGACACAGGUGGUCAGGUAGAGAAUACUCAGGCGCUUGAGAGAACUCGGGUGAAGGAACUAGGCAAAAUGGUGCCGUAACUUCGGGAGAAGGCACGCUGGCAUUAGGUGAAGUGAUUUACUCAUGGAGCUGAAGCCAGCCGCAGAUACCAGCUGGCUGCAACUGUUUAUUAAAAACACAGCACUGUGCAAACACGAAAGUGGACGUAUACGGUGUGACGCCUGCCCGGUGCCGGAAGGUUAAUUGAUGAGGUUAGCGCAAGCGAAGCUUCUGAUCGAAGCCCCGGUAAACGGCGGCCGUAACUAUAACGGUCCUAAGGUAGCGAAAUUCCUUGUCGGGUAAGUUCCGACCUGCACGAAUGGCGUAAUGAUGGCCAGGCUGUCUCCACCCGAGACUCA
Molecule: ribosomal RNA, 1262 nt
Filed under: metagenome
Description: bacterial LSU rRNA
Rfam family: Bacterial large subunit ribosomal RNA
Source: RNAcentral